GCUGGCGGCGUGCUUAACACAUGCAAGUCGAGUGCGCGUUUCCGUAGCAAUACGGAAAUGGCGCACGGCGCACGGGUGCGUAACACGUGGGUAAUCUGCCCUUCGAUGGGGAAUAACUCGCCGAAAGGCGAGCUAAUUCCGCAUAACAUUCCUUGGACUCCGGUUCGAGGAUUCAAAGGCGUAAGUCGUCGGAGGUGGAGCCCGCGCACGAUUAGCUAGUUGGUGAGGUAAUGGCUCACCAAGGCUAUGAUCGUUAGCUGGUCUGAGAGGAUGGCCAGCCACACUGGAACUGAGACACGGUCCAGACUCCUACGGGAGGCAGCAGUGGGGAAUCUUGCACAAUGGGCGAAAGCCUGAUGCAGCGACGCCGCGCGGGGGAUGAAGCUUCUCGGAGUGUAAACCCCUUUCGACCGGGUCGAAUACCUCGCAAGAGGGGUGACGGUACCGGUAUAAGAGGCCCCGGCUAACUACGUGCCAGCAGCCGCGGUAAGACGUAGGGGGCCAGCGUUGCUCGGAAUUACUGGGUGUAAAGGGUUCGUAGGCGGUGUGGCAAGUCGGGAGUGAAAUCUCUGGGCUCAACCCAGGGGCUGCUU
Molecule: ribosomal RNA, 593 nt
Filed under: uncultured soil bacterium
Lineage: Bacteria
Description: bacterial SSU rRNA
Rfam family: Bacterial small subunit ribosomal RNA
Source: RNAcentral